Small nuclear RNA from Neltuma alba, 115 nucleotides. RefSeq annotates it as U5 spliceosomal RNA. The record is from RefSeq and is a predicted model, not a curated record. NCBI's taxonomy places the organism in Eukaryota, Viridiplantae, Streptophyta, Magnoliopsida, Fabales, Fabaceae. The transcript has a single exon.
AGCCACGCACUGAGCACAGAGCGAACUGUUCUUUUUCCUUUUACUAAAGAAUACUGUGUACUCGUUCAAGUGGCAUGCGCCUCUUUUUUCUUUGGGGGGGGGGGGGGGUCCCGUA